GUGGGGAAUAUUGCGCAAUGGGGGCAACCCUGACGCAGCCAUGCCGCGUGUGUGAAGAAGGCCUUCGGGUUGUAAAGCACUUUAAGUGGGGAGAAAAGGGUAGCUGUUAAUAGCGGUUACCUGUGAUGUUACCCACAGAAUAAGCACCGGCUAACUCCGUGCCAGCAGCCGCGGUAAUACGGAGGGUGCGAGCGUUAAUCGGAAUUACUGGGCGUAAAGCGCGCGUAGGCGGUUUGUUAAGUCAGCUGUGAAAGCCCCGGGCUCAACCUGGGAACUGCAGUUGAUACUGGCCGACUAGAGUACGAGAGAGGGAGGUAGAAUUCCAUGUGUAGCGGUGAAAUGCGUAGAUAUAUGGAGGAAUACCGGUGGCGAAGGCGGCCUCCUGGCUCGAUACUGACGCUGAGGUGCGAAAGCGUGGGGAUCAAACAGGAUUAGAUACCCUGGUAGUCC
Molecule: ribosomal RNA, 450 nt
Filed under: uncultured bacterium
Lineage: Bacteria
Description: bacterial SSU rRNA
Rfam family: Bacterial small subunit ribosomal RNA
Source: RNAcentral